RNAcentral lists this ribosomal RNA (253 nucleotides) under uncultured bacterium. Its description in RNAcentral is "partial 16S ribosomal RNA". It matches the Rfam family "Bacterial small subunit ribosomal RNA", at positions 524 to 776 of the family's 1533-position model. The record is from RNAcentral.
UACGUAGGGUGCGAGCGUUGUCCGGAAUUAUUGGGCGUAAAGGGCUCGUAGGCGGUUUGUCGCGUCGGGAGUGAAAACCCAGGGCUUAACCCUGGGCUGGCUUCCGAUACGGGCAGACUGGAGUGCGGUAGGGGAGAAUGGAAUUCCUGGUGUAGCGGUGGAAUGCGCAGAUAUCAGGAGGAACACCGAUGGCGAAGGCAGUUCUCUGGGCCGUAACUGACGCUGAGGAGCGAAAGCGUGGGGAGCGAACAGG